Molecule: ribosomal RNA, 433 nt
Filed under: uncultured bacterium
Lineage: Bacteria
Description: partial 16S ribosomal RNA
Rfam family: Bacterial small subunit ribosomal RNA
Source: RNAcentral
AACGAACGCUGGCGGCAUGCCUAACACAUGCCAGUCGAACGAGACCUUCGGGUCUAGUGGCGCACGGGUGCGUAACGCGUGGGAACCUGCCCUUAGGUUCGGAAUAACUCCCCGAAAGGGGUGCUAAUCCCGGAUAAUGUCUUCGGACCAAAGAUUUAUCGCCUUUGGAUGGGCCCGCGUUGGAUUAGCUAGUUGGUAGGGUAAAAGCCUACCAAGGCGACGAUCCAUAGCUGGUCUGAGAGGAUGAUCAGCCACACUGGGACUGAGACACGGCCCAGACUCCUACGGGAGGCAGCAGUGGGGAAUAUUGGACAAUGGGCGAAAGCCUGAUCCAGCAAUGCCGCGUGAGUGAUGAAGGCCUUAGGGUUGUAAAGCUCUUUUACCCGGGAUGAUAAUGACAGUACCGGGAGAAUAAGCUCCGGCUAACUCCGUG